CUACGGGCGGCUGCAGUGGGGAAUAUUGCACAAUGGGCGCAAGCCUGAUGCAGCCAUGCCGCGUGUAUGAAGAAGGCCUUCGGGUUGUAAAGUACUUUCAGCGGGGAGGAAGGGAGUAAAGUUAAUACCUUUGCUCAUUGACGUUACCCGCAGAAGAAGCACCGGCUAACUCCGUGCCAGCAGCCGCGGUAAUACGGAGGGUGCAAGCGUUAAUCGGAAUUACUGGGCGUAAAGCGCACGCAGGCGGUUUGUUAAGUCAGAUGUGAAAUCCCCGGGCUCAACCUGGGAACUGCGUCUGAUACUGGCAAGCUUGAGUCUCAUAGAGGGGGGUAGAAUUCCAGGUGUAGCGGUGAAAUGCGUAGAGAUCUGGAGGAAUACCGGUGGCGAAGGCGGCCCCCUGGACGAAGACUGACGCUCAGGUGCGAAAGCGUGGGGAGCAAACAGGAUUAGAUACCCCCGUAGUC
Molecule: ribosomal RNA, 464 nt
Filed under: uncultured bacterium
Lineage: Bacteria
Description: partial 16S ribosomal RNA
Rfam family: Bacterial small subunit ribosomal RNA
Source: RNAcentral